Molecule: long non-coding RNA, 2088 nt
Filed under: Homo sapiens (human)
Lineage: Eukaryota; Metazoa; Chordata; Mammalia; Primates; Hominidae
Description: non-protein coding lnc-TMPRSS2-83:12
Source: RNAcentral
UUUCAAGGAACAACAGAGAGAUGGUAUUUCCAGACAAGGGAAUAAAUUCCCGGAAGCAACUGGCCAAGGAAUGAAAAUCCUGGAGAACAGAGUGGAAGAAACGCGUAUUCCACAUUUCCUGUUGAUUUUCUUUCCUCCCUAAACACUGACCUCCCGCAGUCUUCACUAGCAGGUGAGGUCACCUGUAGAGGUCAUGCUGCGGAGUCCCGAGUCCCUGAUUAUAUUCAAGACGUGGAGCUCUCUUUUUCCCGUCCUGCUUUCUUUCCAGAAGUGCCUCAGAUGCAUCCUCCCCUUCUCUUUUCUCCACAUGAAGACGUCACUGACCAUCUUCUCUGGUUUGCUUUCCAACACCGAGCACCAAGUGCUUCAAAGGUCAUGGUGCCCUGGGGCCGAGAGCUACUUAUGUGGGCAUUUAUAACCAAAUAAAUAUUGAAAUGGCCCACAAAGCAAAUGUUAGUGGUAACCAACAGCGGUAAAACUGGGUACAUGGGACCCUGAACCUUCUUGAAUAUUCCCCAUGAGACCCUGGGCCGACCUUCGGGCUUUCCAGUGUGCUCAGAAAAUCCUCCGUGGCUCCCAGCCCCAGCUUAGUCUUUCAACGGUCCUCGGACUGAAGCAAGAGACAGGGAAGGAAUUGUCCAAGGUUUUCCAGCAUGCUGAGAACACUUACCAUGGUGGAGCCUGGCACGUACUGGCUCUUUGAUGCAUGUGUAUUGGUCUCAAGUAGCCAGAAGCAUCUCCUCUGAGAGCCCUUGCCCUCCAGUUUAAAUGGCAAAUGGAAGGGAAUGGGUUCUGGAAGGCCCCAGGUGGGCUGGGGUGGGUUCUGGAGACCAUCUUCCAACUCCUGUUCAGGAGGAGGGUUGGUCAGAUCAGCUCUGUGGCCACCUGGGCUCUGGAGGGGCGAGAUACGGGCAGGUGCGGCCACAGGAGGGAGAGCACCAUGUGCGGGGGAAGCCCACAGCUGGAACCAAAAGGCCCCAGGAGGGAUCCUGGCUCUGACAUCUCCCAGCCGUGUGGCCUUGGGCAAGGUCCCUGACUUGGACCUCAGCCUCCUCAUCUGUAAAACAGGCAGAACAGUAAUACCGACCUUGUAGGUUGUAUAGAGUUCAUAUACAUCAAGCACUUACCACAGUGCCUGGCGGACCGCAUGCCCUAAACACACAAUCCGUGAAAUGAAUCCAUCAGCAAGCAGCUGCUAGGGGCAGUGUGGGGCAGAGAGGCAGCUGCCUGCUGGAACUGGCUGACAGGAGGAUGAGUGUGUGGCAGGAGGAACGCUCUGCACAGAGGACACUAGGUAGCGUCACCUGUCUCUUACCCUGUGUCUCCACUGGAAUGGAAUGUCAGACUCGCACCAUGCAUUCCUUUCCCUGCCAAAACGCCUCCUCUUAGCAGUGAGCAAGAAAGUUGUUCGAGUGGAUGAAGCCAAAAGCCCAUUUGGCAAGAGUGCUGUUUUGGAAAAUGCUUAGCGGUGUGGGUUGGGAUGAGGUUUUCUGUGCCUUUCCAUUAUUUCUUCAGCUUCAUGUAACCCUGACUGAGCAAUGCUCAGCAGAGUGAAGGCUGGGCAGCAGAUGGACAAGAUUUUCUCAAACUCCUUUUUAAGCCAAUUUCAAAAUAGAGAGAGGGAAAAAUCCUUGUUUUCUCUUUUCGGUUUUGAGAGGUUUCAUAUGCAGACACAAUUUUAAAUUUUAUUUUUUUUGCCCCCAAUGAGAUGUUUGGAGAUGGUGGUACUAGAACAGGAAGGAAUUUAUAAGUAUUGGGGAAUUUUUCAUCCCAAUUCCCAUAUCCUCCUAUAAUUCAAGGAGUGAAUGGGUAGUGUUUUUGUUUUUGUGAGAGGGGUGGCGGAGGGUAGAGAGAGAAAGAGAGAGAGACAGAGAGAGAUUACAUAGAGGUGUCCAAAAUGAACACAGUAAAAACCAGUUUUGAUUAAUUCUGCAAUAUUAAGUAGGCAGCCAAAAAUUUUGGUCUGCUUAAUUCUUAGCUCAUCUAAGUCUCCAGUUGACUGAUUGAUUGAUUGAAUGACUUAUUCAACAUGCGCUAGCCAGACACUGGUCUAGGGCCCAGGAAUUCAGCAAUAAAUGAAACAAGACC